This 1221-nucleotide ribosomal RNA is filed under the name Triticum aestivum (bread wheat). RNAcentral describes it as "partial small subunit ribosomal RNA". Lineage: Eukaryota; Viridiplantae; Streptophyta; Magnoliopsida; Poales; Poaceae. The record is from RNAcentral.
AUGGCGGAGUUCGCGCUUGGUCUGACCAAGACGGCGGUGGCGGGGACUGUGAGCAGGGUGAAGUUGGCGGUGCAGGAGGAGAAGAAGCUGAGGGAGAGUGUGGAGGAGGACCUUGUGUUCAUCACGGGGGAGUUUGAGAUGAUGCAGGCGUUCCUUAGCGCCUCUAGCGCUGGGGAGCGCACAUCCAAGAACAAGUGUGAGCAGCAGGAGCGUGACAAGCUGCAUGGUCAAGUAGUUCCGGCUGAUCUGGCUCGAGGUAGAAGAAGAAGCGGCGCUGCGAGAGGCGGCGCCAACAUCCGUGACCUGGCCUUCGACGUCGAGAACUGCGUUGAGUUCGUGGUGCAUCUCGACAAGCCGUCACCAUGGGACUGGAUGCGGCGCCUUGCCUCCUCCACUCCCUGCCUUUCAAGUUUGUCGCUGCCCCUGGACUUGGCGGCGGCAGAGAUAAAACGGCUCAAGGCAAGGGUGGAGGACGUAAGCCAGAGCAACACACGCUACAACCUCACAGGUGGCGGCGGCAGCGACGACAACGGCAACAACGACAAUGACUACGACUACAACUACGACGACAGCGACUCUGACUCUGACUUACACCAAGAGCAGAAUCAGGUGCGUAUGCGCCCUGCAGUCAGCACUACAUCAGUAGCAGCGGCAACAUUUCAGGACCUAAGGGUGAUCUGGAAGGCCAUGGGAAAGCUCAGGCGGAACACUCGGGAUCUGAAAAUAUUGAUCGACUGCCAAGGGAGUGGACUCAAGGUGAUCACACUGUGGGGAAGUGUGAACGCUGAUGCUGUUGGGGAUUCUGGGCGAGUGAGUAUUCUGAAGAAGGCCUACCUUGACCAGGAAAUCUGCCAACAAUUCAAGAGUCGUGCAUGGAUAAAGCUGACCAAUACUUUUAAUCCAGUAGAGUUCCUCAACAACUUACUCACUCACUUCACAUCUCACCGCCAUGUCCGACACCAUGAUGUGCACGAGCUCAUGGUGCAAGUCUGCCAGCACAGGUACCUCAUCAUCCUAGAAGAAGAAUUAUCCAGUUUCGCGGAGUGGGAGGCCAUCAAAAUAUACCUUCCCGACAGCAACAAUGGCAGCCGAGUUGUCAUCUCCACCAAGCACUUGGGAGUUGCCCUUGUCUGCACGGGAGAACCAUUCCAAGUAUGGGAGCUUCAACACUACUCUCGUAAUCAAUACCUUUGUGCCUUUUUCCCGAAGGUAAUUACUUAA